UGGGGAAUUUUGGGCAAUGGGCGACAAGCCUGACGGAGCAAUGCCGCGUGCGGGAUGAAGUACCUCUGGUAUGUAAACCGCUGUCGGGGGGUAGAACCAAUGAUCACCCCCAAAGGAAGUGGCGACUAACUCUGUGCCAGCAGUCGCGGUAAUACAGAGGCCACAAGCGUUAGUCGGAAUCACUGGGCUUAAAGGGUGCGUAGGCUGGCUCGUAAGUGUUCUGUGAAAGCCCCCGGCUCAACCGGGGAACAGCAGGGCAUACUGCGGGUCUUGAGGCAGGUAGGGGUCGCGAGAACAGUAGGUGGAGCGGUGAAAUGCGUAGAUAUCUACUGGAAUGCCGAUGGUGAAGACGCGCGACUGGGGCCUGUCCUGACGCUGAGGCACGAAAGCGUGGGGAGCAAACAGGAUUAGAUACCCAAGUAGUCCCUGAGCGGGCUGGCAAGGCGCAU
RNAcentral lists this ribosomal RNA (449 nucleotides) under uncultured bacterium. RNAcentral's name for it is "bacterial SSU rRNA". It matches the Rfam family "Bacterial small subunit ribosomal RNA", at positions 355 to 825 of the family's 1533-position model. The record is from RNAcentral.